AUACUCAAAAUCAUUAUGCAGGUUGAUUCUUAAACCCAUUGAACAUAAUGAUCCGACGUCAUCUCCCAAUUUUGAAUUCCCUGUAUUCGAAGCGGAAGAAUAUGAUGUUGAAGGGAUUCCUGACGAGAUUUCCCGACUUCUUGAGCAAGAAAAGAAGAUCACUCAGCUGCAUCUCGAGAAUCAGCAGAACAGCCAACUGGGGCAUUAAAAAAAAGAUAAAAAAGAGGAGGGUGUAAAAUCAAAAGAAAUAAAAAAAAAAAUCAAAUCAAAAAUCAAAAGAAAGAAAAAAGAAAGAAAGAAGCAAAAGAAAAAUAGCACCCUCAAAGUCC
RNAcentral lists this long non-coding RNA (329 nucleotides) under Lathyrus oleraceus (garden pea). Its description in RNAcentral is "Pisum sativum (pea) long non-coding RNA (PSAT_LNC021835)". Lineage: Eukaryota; Viridiplantae; Streptophyta; Magnoliopsida; Fabales; Fabaceae. The record is from RNAcentral.